This 254-nucleotide ribosomal RNA is filed under the name uncultured bacterium. Its description in RNAcentral is "partial 16S ribosomal RNA". It matches the Rfam family "Bacterial small subunit ribosomal RNA", at positions 524 to 776 of the family's 1533-position model. The record is from RNAcentral.
UACGUAGGGUGCGAGCGUUGUCCGGAAUUACUGGGCGUAAAGAGCUCGUAGGCGGUUUGUCGCGUCGUCCGUGAAAACUUGGGGCUCAACCCCAAGCUUGCGGGCGAUACGGGCAGACUUGAGUACUGCAGGGGAGACUGGAAUUCCUGGUGUAGCGGUGAAAUGCGCAGAUAUCAGGAGGAACACCGGUGGCGAAGGCGGGUCUCUGGGCCGAUACUGACGCUGAGGAGCGAAAGCGUGGGGGAGCGAACAGG